GAUGAACGCUAGCUACAGGCUUAACACAUGCCAGUCGAGGGGAAACGCCAUUGAAGCUUGCUUCGAUGGUCGUCGACCGGCGCACGGGUGAGUAACGCGUAUCCAACCUGCCUCUGACCAAGGGAUAACCCGUCGAAAGUCGGCCUAAUACCUUAUGCAGUCGUCGGAAGUCAUCUGAUGACGACGAAAGAUUUCAUCGGUGAGAGAUGGGGAUGCGUCUGAUUAGCUUGUUGGCGGGGUAACGGCCCACCAAGGCAACGAUCAGUAGGGGUUCUGAGAGGAAGGUCCCCCACAUUGGAACUGAGACACGGUCCAAACUCCUACGGGAGGCAGCAGUGAGGAAUAUUGGUCAAUGGGCGAGAGCCUGAACCAGCCAAGUAGCGUGCAGGAUGACGGCCCUAUGGGUUGUAAACUGCUUUUAGGCGGGGAUAAAGUGAGGGACGUGUCCUUCAUUGCAGGUACCGCAUGAAUAAGGACCGGCUAAUUCCGUG
This 491-nucleotide ribosomal RNA is filed under the name uncultured bacterium. RNAcentral's name for it is "partial 16S ribosomal RNA". It matches the Rfam family "Bacterial small subunit ribosomal RNA", at positions 28 to 507 of the family's 1533-position model. The record is from RNAcentral.